AUAUUGCAACUAACUACUAAAUUUAGUCGAUCAGUUGCCCGAACUGGAGCAUACGAAGGGCUUCACUUAGGUUAUAUUGUCAAUUGUCUCAGAUUGCUACACUUUUGCCUGCACCAUCGUAUUUGUAUUCCCUUAAACAUUAUUGACGAUGCAAUGCCUUCCAAACUGCUGACCAAUGAAACAAUGUUGCAUGUUGUUGCACCGUGCACUUCACACCUCGCAGUGUUGUCCACAUAACGCAGGAUACGUUCUUGUUCCGCAGUUGGCGUCCCGGCUCGAGUACGCCCGGUUCGAGAAGGAUCGCUGGAAGCAGGUGACCCAAGUCGACUGGAAAUCCAUCAAGGAUGAGAAUGUCAAGCGCCAGUUCAAGGUGCUCUCCAAGCUGGGCACGGCUGCCCUGCCAGAGGACAGGUUGGAGAAGUACGACCAGUUGCAGAGUGGCAUGGAGCGGACGUACAGCACGGCCAGGGUGUGCAACCUGAACGGCACCAGCUGCGACCUCAGCCUCGAGCCCGAUCUGUCGGAGAUCAUGGCCAACAGCCGCGACCCCGAGGAGCUCGAGCACGUCUGGCUCGCCUGGAGAGAAAACACCGGCAAGAAGAUGCGCAACUCGUACAAGGAGUUUGUGGAACUCAUCAACGAGGCGGCUGAGCUAAACGGUUUCUCGGACGGCACCGAACUGUGGCUGGACGUGUACGACACCGCCGACUUUCAGUCGCAGAUCGCGCGCCUCUGGGACCAGCUGACGCCCCUGUACGAGCAGCUGCACGCGUAUGUGCGCGGCCGGCUGCGCCAGCACUACGGCGAGGAGGUGGUCAGCAGGGACGGCCCCAUCCCGGCGCACCUGCUCGGGAACAUGUGGUCUCAGUCCUGGGGCAAUCUGCUCGAUAUCUGCAAACCGUACCCAGAGAAGGCCAGCGUUGACGUAACACCGCAGAUGAAAGCGCAGGGCUACACGCCGCUGAAGAUGUUCCAGAUGUCAGACGAGUUUUUCACCUCGCUCGGUCUGAUCCCGAUGACGCCCGAGUUCUGGAACAGAUCCAUCCUGGAGAAGCCCGACGACGGCCGCGAGCUGGUCUGCCACGCGUCCGCCUGGGACUUCUACGACGGAAAGGAUGUCCGGAUAAAACAGUGCACGGUGGUCACUCUGGAGGACCUGAUCACAGCCCACCACGAAAUGGGGCACAUUGAGUACUUCCUCCAGUACGCUGGACAACCUCAGGUCUUCAAAACAGGUGCCAACCCAGGUUUCCAUGAGGCCGUCGGAGACACGCUGGCCCUGUCAGUGGCCACGCCUAAACACCUGAAGAAGAUCGGACUCCUGGAAGAGGUCAUCAACGAUCCCGAGGUGGACAUGAACUUCCUGAUGUCGGUGGCGCUGGACAAGAUCGCCUUCCUGCCGUUCGGCUACGUGAUGGACAAGUGGCGGUGGGGCGUGUUCUCGGGCGACAUCUCCGAGGACGACCUCAACUGCGAGUGGUGGAAGCUGCGACUGGGCCUGCAGGGCAUCGAGCCGCCGCAGGUGCGCUCCGAGAUGGACUUUGACCCGGGCGCCAAGUACCACAUCCCCGGCAACGUGCCCUACAUCAGAUACUUCGUGUCGUUCAUCAUCCAGUUCCAGUUCCACAAGGCACUGUGUAUCACGGCCAACCAGUACGACCCCAACGACCGGGCGCGGCCGCUGCACCAGUGUGACAUCUACAACAACAAGGAGGCCGGCAAAAAACUGGCUAAAAUGCUGUCGAUGGGCGCGUCGAAGCCGUGGCCGGACGCGAUGGAGGCCAUCACGGGACAGCGCGAGAUGGACGCCACGGCGCUGCGCGACUACUUCCAGCCCCUGGAGGACUGGCUGAAGCGCGAGAACCAGGAGAACCAGGAGAUCAUCGGCUGGAAGACCGAUGAGCCGGUAUGCACACGCGAGCCGCAGCCCAUCAGCACCCGAGGCGGCGGCGACCACGAGGACGAUGACGACGACGACGACGAUGACGACGACAACGGGGUGUCGGCGGCCGCGCCGCUGUCGACGCUGUUGCUGCUGGCGGCGGCCGCGACGGCGCUGUUCCGCUGAGCGCGCGCGGCGCUCAGGGACGCGCCUUUGGACCUGCGGGAUACGGGGGCGGCCUCCGACGGCCGGCCUGCCGUGGUCACGGUGAUCCAGGAGUCCUGCGAUGGUUCGUGAAACCAAUAAACAGUCAGCAAGUACGAUAAGGUCCGUCUGGUCAAUGUGGUUGCCGUGAUGUUCUGGCUCUUAUAUGUCAUGACGUGCAAUGAUCUUGUGACUAAGUGGCUUCUGGGGACCGAACUGACGCCCACAUUCCCCCCGGCUAUCCGAAGACCUCGGAUGGCCGAUGAAGCCUACGAGCUGAAGCAGUGAUGCCUUUUACAGACAGACACAUAUCUUUCAGUCCGUCCUAUCAUCAGCUGUGUCGCUGUGUUACUCAGAAUGGUGAAGGUGUUCUUGUUUUGGGUACUUUUCGCGUUGUGAGAAACAAGACAAGCUCUUGGAUGCUAGUAUGUAUUGUAGGAUUCGUAUUAGAUGAUAGUUUCGACCAACCAUCAAAACUGCGACUGUCUAGAUCCGAUGGCGGAUGGUUGAACUCGUUUUAGCACGAUAAAUCGGUGCACAGAUGCGUCUAUUGGCACACACAAGGGAGGUUUUGCCGCUGAACGGUUAACAUAAGAUGGUACCUAUAAGCACCCCAGCGGUACCCGUGUGUACCUACCCCAGCAGCAUGGUGGACAGGAUACAAGCUAACAAGAUGUGUUAGAUCAUCGUGAUCGUGUUUAUAUUUGCCAAGAGCCUGUAGGUGCGAAAAACAGCCUUAUGUAACUAGACGAAAUAGUGCCGAUACUUUGUGCCAUUUGCUUUGAAUUGGAAAUAAGGAUGGACACAGGACAACUCCAGAGCUAUGGCUUCUGCGUGAAUGUACUGUAUACAUAUGUACCAUGGUUAGAAUACAGGAAUAAAAUAUAUAAAUAUUGA
Molecule: unclassified non-coding RNA, 2983 nt
Filed under: Amphibalanus amphitrite
Lineage: Eukaryota; Metazoa; Arthropoda; Thecostraca; Balanomorpha; Balanidae
Description: angiotensin-converting enzyme-like, transcript variant X1
Source: RNAcentral